AACGAACGCUGGCGGCAUGCCUAACACAUGCAAGUCGAACGAGACCUUCGGGUCUAGUGGCGCACGGGUGCGUAACGCGUGGGAACCUGCCCUUAGGUUCGGAAUAACUCCCCGAAAGGGGGGCUAAUACCGGAUAAUUUCUUCGGACCAAAGAUUUAUCGCCUUUGUAUGGGCCCGCGUUGGAUUAGCUAGGUGGGAGGGUAAAAGCCUACCAAGGCGACGAUCCAUAGCUGGUCUGAGAGGAUGAUCAGCCACACUGGGACUGAGACACGGCCCAGACUACUACGGGAGGCAGCAGUGGGGAAUAUUGGCAAAUCGGCGAAAGGCUGAACCAGCAAUGCCGCGUGAGUGAUGAAGGCCUUAGGGUUGUAAAGCUCUUUUACCCGGGAUGAUAAUGACAGUACCGGGAGAAUAAGCUCCGGCUAACUCCGUG
This 433-nucleotide ribosomal RNA is filed under the name uncultured bacterium. RNAcentral describes it as "partial 16S ribosomal RNA". It matches the Rfam family "Bacterial small subunit ribosomal RNA", at positions 29 to 507 of the family's 1533-position model. The record is from RNAcentral.